RNAcentral lists this ribosomal RNA (540 nucleotides) under uncultured bacterium. RNAcentral describes it as "bacterial SSU rRNA". It matches the Rfam family "Bacterial small subunit ribosomal RNA", at positions 774 to 1313 of the family's 1533-position model. The record is from RNAcentral.
AGUAAAUAGAUACCCCGGUAGUCCACGCCGUAAACGAUGAGUACUAGGUGUAGGAGGUAUCGACUCCUUCUGUGCCGCAGUUAAACACAAUAAGUACUCCGCCUGGGAGGUACGGUCGCAAGAUUAAAACUCAAAGGAAUUGACGGGGGCCCGCACAAGCAGCGGAGCAUGUGGUUUAAAUUCGAAGCAACGCGAAGAACCUUACCUAGACUUGACAUCUCCUGAAUAGCGUAGAGAUACGUGAAGCCCUUCGGGGCAGGAAGACAGGUGGUGCAUGGUUGUCGUCAGCUCGUGUCGUGAGAUGUUGGGUUAAGUCCCGCAACGAGCGCAACCCUUAUCAUUAGUUGCUACCAUUAAGUUGAGCACUCUAGUGAGACUGCCCGGGUUAACCGGGAGGAAGGCGGGGAUGACGUCAAAUCAUCAUGCCCCUUAUGUCUAGGGCUACACACGUGCUACAAUGGUGAGAACAACGAGAUGCAAUACCGCGAGGUGGAGCCAAACUUGAAAACUCAUCCCAGUUCGGAUUGUAGGCUGAAAUUC